RNAcentral lists this ribosomal RNA (640 nucleotides) under uncultured bacterium. RNAcentral describes it as "bacterial SSU rRNA". It matches the Rfam family "Bacterial small subunit ribosomal RNA", at positions 66 to 720 of the family's 1533-position model. The record is from RNAcentral.
ACGGAGAUACGAGAGCUUGCUUUUGUAUCUUAGUGGCGGAGGGCGAGUAACGCGUGAGCAACCUACCCUUAAGUGGGGAAUAACGUUUGGAAACGAACGCUAAUACCGCAUAAAGCAGCAUUUCCGCAUGGGAGAGCUGCCAAAGGAUUUAUUCGCUUAAGGAUGGGCUCGCGUCCGAUUAGCUAGUUGGUGAGGUAAGGGCUCACCAAGGCGACGAUCGGUAGCCGAACUGAGAGGUUGAUCGGCCGCAUUGGGACUGAGACACGGCCCAGACUCCUACGGGAGGCAGCAGUGGGGGAUAUUGCACAAUGGGGGAAACCCUGAUGCAGCAAUGCCGCGUGAGGGAAGAAGGUCUUCGGAUUGUAAACCUAAGUAGUCAGGGACGAUAAUGACGGUACCUGAAGAGUAAGCUCCGGCUAACUACGUGCCAGCAGCCGCGGUAAUACGUAGGGAGCGAGCGUUGUCCGGAAUUACUGGGUGUAAAGGGUGCGUAGGCGGGAUGGCAAGUCAGGCGUGAAAUACCGGGGCUUAACUCCGGGGCUGCGCUUGAAACUGUCGUUCUUGAGUGAAGUAGAGGCAGGCGGAAUUCCUAGUGUAGCGGUGAAAUGCGUAGAUAUUAGGAGGAACACCAGUGGCGAAG